RNAcentral lists this unclassified non-coding RNA (4007 nucleotides) under Onthophagus taurus. RNAcentral's name for it is "axonemal 84 kDa protein, transcript variant X5". The record is from RNAcentral. Lineage: Eukaryota; Metazoa; Arthropoda; Insecta; Coleoptera; Scarabaeidae.
AAGUUUUACAGGUCUAAUUUGUUUAAUUAUUUAAGUGGAAGAGUUCCUGAUUCAAAAGAAUUAUUUAUUAAAUAACGAGAUGGUUUUAAAUACGAUAAAGUGUUGUGAUUUGGUUAAUAUGAACCAGGAAAGGGUUAAAAUUACGUUUCACCCUCAAUUUUUAAGCUCAACUAAUCUUUUAUUUGGACUGGUUUAAAGUUAAGUGGAAGAGUUCCUGAUUCAAAAGAAUUAUUUAUUAAACAACGAGAUGGUUUUAAAUACGAUAAAGUGUUGUGAUUUGGUUGAUAUGGACCAGGAUAGGAUUAAAAUUGCGCUUCACUCUCAAUUUUUAAGCUCAACUAAUCCUUUAUUUGGACUGGAUUAUGAAGAAUUUGAUUUAGGUGUUUAAAGUUUGAUCAAUAAAUCGUUAUCUUGUAUCAUGAUGUCUAAAAGUAAAGUGGUUAUUUCGGAUGAAGUACAGGAAGCUGAAGCUCCCCCUCCUCAGCCGGAAGAAAAAGUUGGUGGCGAAGAAGGCGAUAAGAAAGGCAAAAAAGAGAAAAAAGGAAAAAAAGAGAAAGAAGGGAAAAAAGAUAAAAAAAAGGGUAAAAAAUCAGCUGAAGAUCUUACGGAAAAAGGCGAAUCUCAAGUUCAAGUUGACGAUGGUGGUGAAAAGAAAUCCUCGAAAUCACAAAUUGCUUUGGAAGAAAAAUCGUCAAAAAGUGGAACAGACAUCAAAAAAAAGGGAAAAAGUUAUACCUCUGAGUCAAGAAUGGGUAUGAAAAGUUCACUUUUUACUUAUUCUGAUAGUUUGUAUUCAAUGGGAAGUUCGAGUACUGAGGAAGAUGAAGAACCAGAAAAACCAGUGAAAGAGAGCAAAAAAGGCAAAAAAGAUAAAAAAGGAAAAAAAGGUGAGGGGGAGGAAGGCGCGGAAAAGAAGCCUAAAAAGGAGAAAGAAAAAAAGGGUAAAAAAGAGAAGAAAAAAAAAGAUGUAAAAGACGAAGAAGAUGAAGAUGACGUAAUGGCGGCUAUUUUAGCAAUGAAAGCAACUGCCGAUGAAGAACCAACUGAAACAGAGGAAGAACCCAAGGCAAAGAAGAUGUCGAAAAAAGAAAAAGCCCGUCUAAAAGCUCAAAAAGAAGAGGAAGCCCGAAUUGCCGCCGAAGAAGCGGAACAGGCCGCGGAAUUAGCCGCCCAACAACGAGAAGAAUACCUCAAAGUCACCUGCAAAGCGAAAGAAAACAAAGACAUCGUCGAACAAUCGCAACGAGUCGAUCAAUUAGCCGCAAGCGCCGCUUGGAUUAAAUCGAUGAAUUAUUGCAACUGGAACAUCAAAAGUAAAGAAAAAGCCGAUAACGAAUGGAUUAAAUAUCUAAAAUGCGAUGGAUUACCGGAUCCUGCAGAUCCAGCACAAAUGAACACCUAUCUUCAUUUAUGGGAGAAAGUUACUAUUAAUGAGGUGACUCCAGAAGAGUGCGUGCGACGUACCCGGGAAGUACUCGAUAUUUUAAGCGAUUUAAACGAUUGUAUCGAUGAUCCUUUUAACGUUAAAGAAUCGAUCGUGCAAGAUUGGUACUGGGUGAGGGAGUUGUGUAGGAAUGCUCAACGCGAAAAUUUCGACGUCGCCACUUAUCGGUUAAUCAGAGAUGUUGAAGGAAGAAUGAAUCGCAUUGAUAUACCCACGGCUGAUUAUAAGAUUGUUGACGAUAAUUUCAUUUUAUGCCUUUGGUUGUUCGUGGAAAUGGCAACACCUAUGUUUAAUCCGAGAGCGCCGCAAAAGCCUAAAUUAUUCGUGAAUUUUCCCGAAAUGAAUACGACCGUUUUAUUCCCUGGUGUUAUUGAUGGAAAAAAUGUUACUGUUCGUGGGAUUUACGUCAAAUACGACCAUUUAACUGAUACUUGCGCCUCGUUUAAUCCGCCACCAAUCCCUGAGGAAUAUGAAAUAGAACUCUUAGAUUGUGUGACCAAAGAAUGGUACAUCCGAAUGAUGUAUAAAUGGGAUAAUCGUAAAAGAAAACACAUAAUGCUUGAAAACGAUUACGGAGAAUUAGUAGAAGGCCCUUUAGAGCCCGAACCUGUACUCGAAGAAGGCGAAUUACCACCACCGACCCCUUUCGUAGUUCUAGAUCCAACUCCGAGCGAACACGCGAUCGGAAUCGAGGAAGAUCUUUACGCACAAGUCCGCGCGAAUAUGUGCCAACAAGUUCCGGUGGACACAACGGUGAUUAAUUUGCGGAAAUUUUUGAUCGUUGGUGGAAUUUUUUAUGUAAAUCUCGCUUACCAGCCGCCUUAUCCACAGGAUAAAGUCUCCUUCGAAAUUAGAUUGACGAGGCUUUUAAUGCCGAAGAGUUUGGCUGAAGUGGAGUUUAAGGCGGAUUAUCAUCCUCCAGAACCUGAACUUGAGAUGGAAGAAGAAGAGGAGGAAGAUCCUGAAUGUCCUUUACCAGAAAAGACUCCGGAAGAAAUUGAAGAGGAGAGACAAGUUUUAGAGCAGCUCCAACAGGCUGAAUUGGAAAAACUUUUAUUGAUCACUGUAAAGAUACCCCAACAUAUAAUUUUGUUAGAUUUACCAACUUUAUGCACUUGGGAUCCCGACAACAAACAAUGGACCACCGACGAAAUUUACGACGUCAAACAAAUCGAAGAACAAAAUAUGGUGAUAUUUAGAACGACGAGAUUCGGGGCAUUUUCCUUCGCUAUUAAUCGAUAUAUUAACAUGCCGUUUCAAGCUUGGGAAUUAAAACCAGAACCUGACGGUACCGUAACGUUUCAACUAACUUGUGCCAUCUUAAUGCUCGAAUUCAACGUAAAAAAGAACACGAUUUGUUUAACACAGCUCCUAAACAGUCCGAACAAAGCCUUACAAGACAUAAUUGGAACUUAUUACAAGUUACCAAAGUUAAUACGGAUUCUAAGACAAGGCGGGAUCGAUGUAUUUCCAGCAUACGACGCUUUUUGUUACUUAGAAUCGGGAUUUUGCGAAAAACAUUGGCCCCUUGAAAAGAAUUUGUACCAAUUGAUGGGGUUAAUGAGUUCCGUGUUUAAUUUUUCGUGGUCUAGAUGGAACGUGCAGGCGCCGAGGCGACAUAUUAUAAUGCAAAUGAGGGAGUACCACCACGGUCGAUUAAAACAGCUUCACGAUUUCGUCGUUAGAGUGCGCUAUAAAACGAGCGUUCAAAAAGUACAAAAGCAUAUGGCGUAGGUUUUCUAUUUUUGCUAACACAUCCAGAAAACAGUGAAAACGGCCCCCCUGUCAAAAUGGCCCCGUUUACUGUGUGAUCGCGAAUUUGGCGCUCGUUACCCCGAGCCCCCACGGACAUACAACAAACGCUAACCGACGUCGCUGACCCCCCAAACGUUCGACGUCCCGUCAUCCUCGUCGUGUUGUUGUUGCGUCGUCGUAGUCGUGGUGUUGUGUCGCCGUCGUUGUGCCCCCUUUCAAAAACAUUCAGCAACAAAUAGGAUUAAAAAGAAAACUUUGAGUCUGUGAUAUUAGCCGUUUAACGUAAUUUAUUAACUACUAAGAGAUUUUCGAAUUUAUCGACGGUUUGAUUAUAAAGAAGAUUUGGAUUGUUUUUUUUGAUUUUGGGUGGAUUUCGCGGAGAAGGACGCGUUUUGAUUUUGGGAGAAUGUCGAGUGUGGAAGAUGAAGGAGCCGAGACGAUGAUGUCGUCGUCGUCAACAGUUGUUGAUGAACCCCAAAGACAAGGAGACGACGACCUCGAAUCCGUAAAAUUGAUCACCGAAGUCAUGUUAGAAUCGGAUAUUCACCAAGACCCGGCGAUUCUCCUGAUGAGACCUGCCAAUCCAAAACCGGAUAAAUACGUUUAUUCCUAUGAUGUUCUUAUUAAACUUCGACAGUCGCCGUUUUCAACCAAAAGACCCGAUUACUUGGAUACCGCUCACGAUAACAACGGAACUUGGGAUCCCGAACGAUGGCACAUGGAACGGAAAUCUUCCGAGGCCCCCUCCGAGAAUGGAAGAAGUAAUGGGAAUGGAGCUGGAAAUCCAACCGACUUGGAGAAUCACCGG